RNAcentral lists this ribosomal RNA (253 nucleotides) under uncultured bacterium. RNAcentral's name for it is "partial 16S ribosomal RNA". It matches the Rfam family "Bacterial small subunit ribosomal RNA", at positions 524 to 776 of the family's 1533-position model. The record is from RNAcentral.
UACAGAGGUGGCAAGCGUUGUUCGGAAUUACUGGGCGUAAAGGGCGCGUAGGCGGCCUUCUAAGUCAGACGUGAAAUCCCCCGGCUUAACCUGGGAACUGCGUCUGAUACUGGGAGGCUUGAGUAUGGGAGAGGGAUGUAGAAUUCCAGGUGUAGCGGUGAAAUGCGUAGAUAUCUGGAGGAAUACCGGUGGCGAAGGCGGCAUCCUGGACCAUCACUGACGCUGAGGCGCGAAAGCUAGGGGAGCAAACGGG